RNAcentral lists this non-coding RNA (31 nucleotides) under Mus musculus (house mouse). Lineage: Eukaryota; Metazoa; Chordata; Mammalia; Rodentia; Muridae. The record is from RNAcentral.
ACGAUGGAAACUUAGAAAGCGAGUUUGGUUU